Molecule: ribosomal RNA, 327 nt
Filed under: uncultured eukaryote
Lineage: Eukaryota
Description: partial 18S ribosomal RNA
Rfam family: Eukaryotic small subunit ribosomal RNA
Source: RNAcentral
CCCUUAGAUGUUCUGGGCCGCACGCGCGCUACACUGAUGCAUUCAACGAGUCUAAAACCUGCUCUGAUAGGGGUGGGUAAUCUUUUGAAUGUGCAUCGUGAUUGGGAUAGAUGAUUGCAAUUUUUCAUCUUCAACGAGGAAUGCCUAGUAAACGCAAGUCAUCAGCUUGCAUUGAUUACGUCCCUGCCCUUUGUACACACCGCCCGUCGCUACUACCGAUUGAACGUUUUAGUGAGGCAUUUGGACCGACGCAUCUCAGUUUAACCGCUGGUUUGUGUUGGAAAGACUUCCAAACUUGAGCGUUUAGAGGAAGUAAAAGUCGUAACA